ACCUUCGACCAAGGUUCGCGCUGAGCAUAGCGAGAUAACGACGCGCGGCGGCGGCCCGAGGGUGAGGAACAACGUGACAAGCAAUCCUUCCCCCACCACCU
This 101-nucleotide small RNA is filed under the name Yersinia enterocolitica. Its description in RNAcentral is "partial RtT sRNA". It matches the Rfam family "RtT RNA", at positions 28 to 130 of the family's 130-position model. Rfam says of the family: This family represents a bacterial cis-regulatory element known as RtT RNA. The exact function of RtT is unknown although it is thought that it may be involved in changing the cellular response in relation to amino acid starvation. The record is from RNAcentral. Lineage: Bacteria; Pseudomonadati; Pseudomonadota; Gammaproteobacteria; Enterobacterales; Yersiniaceae.